AGAGUUUGAUCCUGGCUCAGGAUGAACGCUAGCGGCAGGCUUAACACAUGCAAGUCGAGGGGCAGCGCGAUGUAGCAAUACAUUGGCGGCGACCGGCGCACGGGUGCGUAACACGUAUGGAAUCUGCCCUGUACUGGAAGAUAACCCGGCGAAAGUCGGACUAAUAUCCCAUAAUAGCCGAGGUGGCAUCACCUUGGUUUGAAAGCUCCGGCGGUACAGGAUGACCAUGCGCACGAUUAGCUAGUUGGUGAGGUAACGGCUCACCAAGGCUACGAUCGUUAGGGGGCCUGAGAGGGUUAUCCCCCACACUGGUACUGAGACACGGACCAGACUCCUACGGGAGGCAGCAGUGAGGAAUAUUGCGCAAUGGAGGCAACUCUGACGCAGCCAUGCCGCGUGCAGGAAGAAGGCGCUACGCGUUGUAAACUGCUUUUAUCCGGGAAGAAACCCCAGGACGUGUCCUGGGUUGACGGUACCGGAGGAAUAAGCACCGGCUAACUUCGUGCCAGCAGCCGCGGUAAUACGAAGGGUGCAAGCGUUAUCCGGAUUCAUUGGGUUUAAAGGGUGCGUAGGUGGGGCGAUAAGUCAGCGGUGAAAUCCUGCAGCUCAACUGCAGAAUUGCCGUUGAUACUGUCGCUCUUGAGUACGCUUGACGUGGGCGGAAUGUGCCGUGUAGCGGUGAAAUGCUUAGAUAUGGCACAGAACACCGAUAGUGAAGACAGCUCACGAAGGCGAAACUGACACUGAGGCACGAAAGCGUGGGGAUCGAACAGGAUUAGAUACCCUGGUAGU
Molecule: ribosomal RNA, 792 nt
Filed under: uncultured bacterium
Lineage: Bacteria
Description: bacterial SSU rRNA
Rfam family: Bacterial small subunit ribosomal RNA
Source: RNAcentral